RNAcentral lists this ribosomal RNA (397 nucleotides) under uncultured bacterium. Its description in RNAcentral is "partial 16S ribosomal RNA". It matches the Rfam family "Bacterial small subunit ribosomal RNA", at positions 523 to 918 of the family's 1533-position model. The record is from RNAcentral.
AUACGUAGGUGACAAGCGUUAUCCGGAUUUACUGGGCGUAAAGGGCGUGUAGGCGGUCUUGCAAGUCAGAAGUGAAAUUCCUGAGCUCAACUCGGGCGCUGCUUCUGAAACUGCAGGACUUGAGUGCUGGAGGGGAUAGCGGAAUUCCUAGUGGAGCGGUAAAAUGCGCAGAUAUUAGGAAGAACACCGGUGGCGAAGGCGGCUAUCUGGACAGUAACUGACGCUGAGGCGCGUAAGCGUGGGGAGCAAACAGGAUUAGAUACCCUGGUAGUCCACACUGUAAACGAUGAAUGCUAGGUGUAAGAGGUAUCGACCCCUUUUGUGCCGGAGUUAACACAAUAAGCAUUCCGCCUGGGGAGUACGGCCGCAAGGUUGAAACUCAAAUGAAUUGGCGGGG